AUUCAUCAAUUAAGCUGCGGUUGCAGCUUCUGGGCAGUUCCAGCAUUCAUCAAUUAAGCUUCGGUUGCAGCUUCUGGGCAGUCGGCACACUCCAAUUCCCAGGUGGUCCAUCGUUCGGUAGUUUGUUUGGUAGAUGGAAUCUACCGAACACCCUGGCAGAAAGGCACGAAUAAACCUUUCAUCAGGGAAAAUAACAGCUCUGAACUGCAGGGCCAUAAUCUAAAGGGAGCAGGCGAGCAACCAGGCUUCGCCAGUGCAUAGUGGCGAGGUUGGUUCCGCCACACUAAAUAAAUAUCUGUACGAUAUUAACCUUCUCAGUCCUGGGUUAUAGCUGUGGUUAUUAACCCUGUCAUUGCUGGGUAAUAGCUCUCUCUCCC
Non-coding RNA from Pelobates cultripes (western spadefoot toad), 377 nucleotides. The record is from the annotation of a GenBank genome assembly. NCBI's taxonomy places the organism in Eukaryota, Metazoa, Chordata, Amphibia, Anura, Pelobatidae.